GGUUAAGCGACUAAGCGUACACGGUGGAUGCCCUGGCAGUCAGAGGCGAUGAAGGACGUGCUAAUCUGCGAAAAGCGUCGGUAAGGUGAUAUGAACCGUUAUAACCGGCGAUGUCCGAAUGGGGAAACCCAGUGCAAUUCGUUGCACUAUCGUUAACUGAAUACAUAGGUUAACGAGGCGAACCGGGGGAACUGAAACAUCUAAGUACCCCGAGGAAAAGAAAUCAACCGAGAUUCCCCCAGUAGCGGCGAGCGAACGGGGAGCAGCCCAGAGUCUGAAUCAGCUUGUGUGUUAGUGGAACGGUCUGGAAAGUCCGACGGUACAGGGUGAUAGUCCCGUACACCAAAAUGCACAGGUUGUGAACUCGAAGAGUAGGGCGGGACACGUGGUAUCCUGUCUGAAUAUGGGGGGACCAUCCUCCAAGGCUAAAUACUCCUGACUGACCGAUAGUGAACCAGUACCGUGAGGGAAAGGCGAAAAGAACCCCGGCGAGGGGAGUGAAAAAGAACCUGAAACCGUGUACGUACAAGCAGUGGGAGCACCUUCGGGUGUGACUGCGUACCUUUUGUAUAAUGGGUCAGCGACUUAUAUUCUGUAGCAAGGUUAACCGUAUAGGGGAGCCGCAGGGAAACCGAGUCUUAACUGGGCGUUAAGUUGCAGGGUAUAGACCCGAAACCCGGUGAUCUAGCCAUGGGCAGGUUGAAGGUUGGGUAACACUAACUGGAGGACCGAACCGACUAAUGUUGAAAAAUUAGCGGAUGACUUGUGGCUGGGGGUGAAAGGCCAAUCAAACCGGGAGAUAGCUGGUUCUCCCCGAAAGCUAUUUAGGUAGCGCCUCGUGAAUUCAUCUUCGGGGGUAGAGCACUGUUUCGGCUAGGGGGUCAUCCCGACUUACCAACCCGAUGCAAACUACGAAUACCGAAGAAUGUUAUCACGGGAGACACACGGCGGGUGCUAACGUCCGUCGUGAAGAGGGAAACAACCCAGACCGCCAGCUAAGGUCCCAAAGUCAUGGUUAAGUGGGAAACGAUGUGGGAAGGCACAGACAGCCAGGAUGUUGGCUUAGAAGCAGCCAUCAUUUAAAGAAAGCGUAAUAGCUCACUGGUCGAGUCGGCCUGCGCGGAAGAUGUAACGGGGCUAAACCAUGCACCGAAGCUGCGGCAGCGACACUAUGUGUUGUUGGGUAGGGGAGCGUUCUGUAAGCCUGCGAAGGUGUGCUGUGAGGCAUGCUGGAGGUAUCAGAAGUGCGAAUGCUGACAUAAGUAACGAUAAAGCGGGUGAAAAGCCCGCUCGCCGGAAGACCAAGGGUUCCUGUCCAACGUUAAUCGGGGCAGGGUGAGUCGACCCCUAAGGCGAGGCCGAAAGGCGUAGUCGAUGGGAAACAGGUUAAUAUUCCUGUACUUGGUGUUACUGCGAAGGGGGGACGGAGAAGGCUAUGUUAGCCGGGCGACGGUUGUCCCGGUUUAAGCAUGUAGGCUGAUUGUCCAGGCAAAUCCGGAUAAUCAAGGCUGAGGUGUGAUGACGAGGCACUACGGUGCUGAAGUAACAAAUGCCCUGCUUCCAGGAAAAGCCUCUAAGCAUCAGGUAACAUCAAAUCGUACCCCAAACCGACACAGGUGGUCAGGUAGAGAAUACCAAGGCGCUUGAGAGAACUCGGGUGAAGGAACUAGGCAAAAUGGUGCCGUAACUUCGGGAGAAGGCACGCUGGUGUGUAGGUGAAGUCCCUGCGGAUGGAGCUGAGACCAGUCGAAGAUACCAGCUGGCUGCAACUGUUUAUUAAAAACACAGCACUGUGCAAACACGAAAGUGGACGUAUACGGUGUGACGCCUGCCCGGUGCCGGAAGGUUAAUUGAUGGGGUUAUCCGUAAGGAGAAGCUCUUGAUCGAAGCCCCGGUAAACGGCGGCCGUAACUAUAACGGUCCUAAGGUAGCGAAAUUCCUUGUCGGGUAAGUUCCGACCUGCACGAAUGGCGUAAUGAUGGCCAGGCUGUCUCCACCCGAGACUCAGUGAAAUUGAACUCGCUGUGAAGAUGCAGUGUACCCGCGGCAAGACGGAAAGACCCCGUGAACCUUUACUAUAGCUUGACACUGAACAUUGAGCCUUGAUGUGUAGGAUAGGUGGGAGGCUUUGAAGCGUGGACGCCAGUCUGCGUGGAGCCAACCUUGAAAUACCACCCUUUAAUGUUUGAUGUUCUAACGUUGGCCCCUGACCGGGGUUGCGGACAGUGUCUGGUGGGUAGUUUGACUGGGGCGGUCUCCUCCCAAAGCGUAACGGAGGAGCACGAAGGUUAGCUAAUCCUGGUCGGACAUCAGGAGGUUAGUGCAAUGGCAUAAGCUAGCUUGACUGCGAGCGUGACGGCGCGAGCAGGUGCGAAAGCAGGUCAUAGUGAUCCGGUGGUUCUGAAUGGAAGGGCCAUCGCUCAACGGAUAAAAGGUACUCCGGGGAUAACAGGCUGAUACCGCCCAAGAGUUCAUAUCGACGGCGGUGUUUGGCACCUCGAUGUCGGCUCAUCACAUCCUGGGGCUGAAGUAGGUCCCAAGGGUAUGGCUGUUCGCCAUUUAAAGUGGUACGCGAGCUGGGUUUAGAACGUCGUGAGACAGUUCGGUCCCUAUCUGCCGUGGGCGCUGGAGAAUUGAGGGGGGCUGCUCCUAGUACGAGAGGACCGGAGUGGACGCAUCACUGGUGUUCGGGUUGUCAUGCCAAUGGCACUGCCCGGUAGCUAAAUGCGGAAGAGAUAAGUGCUGAAAGCAUCUAAGCACGAAACUUGCCCCGAGAUGAGUUCUCCCUGAGACUUUAAGUCUCCUGAAGGAACGUUGAAGACGACGACGUUGAUAGGCCGGGUGUGUAAGCGCAGCGAUGCGUUGAGCUAACCGGUACUAAUGAACCGUGAGGCUUAACCUU
This 2902-nucleotide ribosomal RNA is filed under the name Klebsiella pneumoniae. RNAcentral describes it as "23S ribosomal RNA". It matches the Rfam family "Bacterial large subunit ribosomal RNA". The record is from RNAcentral. Lineage: Bacteria; Pseudomonadati; Pseudomonadota; Gammaproteobacteria; Enterobacterales; Enterobacteriaceae. RNAcentral also lists the same sequence under 1 other name.